Molecule: ribosomal RNA, 468 nt
Filed under: uncultured bacterium
Lineage: Bacteria
Description: partial 16S ribosomal RNA
Rfam family: Bacterial small subunit ribosomal RNA
Source: RNAcentral
GACGAACGCUGGCGGCGUGCUUAACACAUGCAAGUCGAACGGAAAGGCCCUGCUUUUGUGGGGUGCUCGAGUGGCGAACGGGUGAGUAACACGUGAGUAACCUGCCCUUGACUUUGGGAUAACUUCAGGAAACUGGGGCUAAUACCGGAUAGGAGCUCCUGCUGCAUGGUGGGGGUUGGAAAGUUUCGGCGGUUGGGGAUGGACUCGCGGCUUAUCAGCUUGUUGGUGGGGUAGUGGCUUACCAAGGCUUUGACGGGUAGCCGGCCUGAGAGGGUGACCGGCCACAUUGGGACGGAGAUACGGCCCAGACUCCUACGGGAGGCAGCAGUGGGGAAUAUUGAACAAUGGGCGGAAGCCUGAUGCAGCAACGCCGCGUGCGGGAUGACGGCCUUCGGGUUGUAAACCGCUUUCGCCUGUGACGAAGCGUGAGUGACGGUAAUGGGUAAAGAAGCACCGGCUAACUACGUG